Molecule: ribosomal RNA, 774 nt
Filed under: uncultured Neocallimastigales
Lineage: Eukaryota; Fungi; Neocallimastigomycota; Neocallimastigomycetes; Neocallimastigales
Description: partial large subunit ribosomal RNA
Rfam family: Eukaryotic large subunit ribosomal RNA
Source: RNAcentral
UAUCUCUGUAGAGUCUGCAUAUCAAUAAGCGGAGGAAAAGAAACUAACAAGGAUUCCCCUAGUAACGGCGAGUGAAGCGGGAAGAGCUCAAAUUUGAAAUCUUCAAGGUUUGACCUUGACGAAUUGUAGUUUAAAGAAGUGUUUUCGGUUAGAGGAGUAGUAAAAGUUCUUUGGAAUAGGACAUCAUAGAGGGUGAGAAUCCCGUAUUUGACUAUUCUUUCUAGCUUUGUGAUACACUUUCAAAGAGUCGGAUUGUUUGGGAAUGCGGUCCAAAAUGGGUGGUAAAUUUCAUCUAAAGCUAAAUAUUGGCGAGAGACCGAUAGCGAACAAGUACCGUGAGGGAAAGAUGAAAAGAACUUUGAAAAGAGAGUUAAACAGUACGUGAAAUUGUCAAAAGGGAAGCGUUUGACACCAGUGUUGUUUUUCCGAAAAUCAAUUAAAAAUUGAUUCAUGCCAGGUUGUAUUGACCUCAUCAGCUUGCAAUUUGGUUUUGGGUCUCUUUUUGAUGCACUUUUCGGUUAACAAGUCAACAUCAAUUUCCUUUGCUGUAAAAAGGUAAGAAGAAGGUGGCUUCAAUUUCGGUUGAAGUGUUUAUAGCCUUUUAUCUCUGCAGUCGGGGAGAUUGAGGUCUGCAGCGUAGAUCCUUCGGGGCUAGAUACAUUUAUGCUAAGUUAUAGCUUUUCAUAGACAACUUGUUGACUAUGUUUAGUCAUGUAGCUUACUCGUAAGUGCUAUUUUACCUACGCUUAGGAUGUUGAGCGCAUGUCUCUCUCU